This 2444-nucleotide long non-coding RNA is filed under the name Sorghum bicolor (sorghum). RNAcentral's name for it is "long non-coding RNA (SBIC_LNC007052)". The record is from RNAcentral. Lineage: Eukaryota; Viridiplantae; Streptophyta; Magnoliopsida; Poales; Poaceae.
GAUGAGGACAUCCCUAGCAUUCAUUCAUCUUCAAAUGAAACUCCACUUGAUAUAAGUGGUCCAAUUACAAGAAGUAGAGCUAAACAAUUGGAGAAGGAAAUUCAUUCUCAGGUGAACGCUAACCUUAUGUUUAAUAAUCAGUUUAUGUUGAAUGAUCCUAUACUUUUGAGUUCUUGUUUCAAUGUCCUUAGGAAUGAUGGAGGGUAUGAACCAGCAUGGGAUGAAGAUGGAUUCAAGCCUUUGGACAUCUGAACCAAGAAGCCUAUCGUGUGCAUAAAUAAAAUGGUGGUUCAUUACUUCUGCAUGAGAAGGCAACCAGAAGCUAGAUGGCUGACCCAUGGUACAAAUUCCAAGCAUCACCACGGACAGAAUACAAGGAGUUACGUGGCAUUCUACAGAUGGAUGAAAGCAUCUUUAAGUCUAUGUUGCAGCCCAUCAAACGGUUCAUUAUUUAGACUUCCCAAUAAAGAGUUAUGCUCAUUUUAGUAACUGCUGCCAGAAGCUGAGAAGACGCGCGAACCAGCCACGAAAUCCACUAGUGGAUGUGCAUGCUGUCAUGUAUUCAAAGCUGAACGCCCCUAUCUAUAUAUAUCUCUUGUACUAGACAAUGAAAGGACAUUUUUUGCUUGGUUAAAAUUCAGAAUACACAAACUCGUGGAGUUUUGUUUAUGCGUGAGUCUUGAGAGGCUUGCAAAACUCGUUCUUUCGAUUCCUGAGGGAGUUGUAGAACGCCGAACUGCGGUUCAUCCAGUUUGUGCCUUCACGUCUAUACGGCGUGAUUGCGUGGGCUAUUCGUCGGUACGUGGAAGGGUGAUUGUCUCGGUAGUUCGUCGCGUGGACAGCCUCGCGGUGCACUGUCUCUUCACCAGGUCACGCAGCGACAAGUUAUCAAGUUCGCGAAUCCUACGAGAAGAUCGGGCCACAACGACUUGUCUCACGCUAUCCCUAGGCGUGAGCAUAUCAACAGUGCCUAUUUUGUAUCUAACCUUUUGGCCUGAGAUCAAGUGCAUUCAAAAUUCAUAGAAAGAAUUAUAGCAUAUGGUUCAUUUAUUGGAAAUGUAUGUCACUGAAGGACACACAAAAACAAGUAAACAGUGAACAUCUGAAUAUGCAGCAAGUCAUUGAAAGAAAAACAUUUUCAAAUGAAGCAUUGACUUGUUACUGGUUACAUGUUUGGCUAAACUAAUAUUGUGUUCCAGAUGCACUAUCACUCAAACAGCACCAAAGUGAGAGUAGCAACAGUCAUAACCUACACCAAUCUAGGUAGAAUAUCUAGCUUUGCAAUGAGGCCCCUAACCUACACCAAUAAAGAGAAAUCUAGAAAAAAUUCAGUUAGCAACAUAAUGAGCAGUCAGUCAUUUUUCUGAGCUUCUAGACAUCCAAUGUAAAUAUGAUGAAAAAAUGCUACAAUUUUUUUGUCCUCAAAUUACAAGUUCAGAUAGAUCUUUUAUCAAAUUGAUAAUAAAAUACAUGUAUUUUGUACCCUAGUACUGCAGAACUACCAAGCACAUAUAUGCAGCUGCACCUAUUUUCAGUUUAAUAUUCACAAAUCAAUCACUAGAUUAGAUCUGUUUUAAAAUUGUUGCCAACCACUGCAGAUACGUCAGCACUUAAGAUUUUGGCUCUAUUAUUAGAACAGUUGAAAGUGUUUCCCCCAUUCAGUCAUUAUAAGAAACAGGUAGCCAGCACACAUGGGCAUCACAAGAUAAGCACACGAGCGAUCGAGACUCACCGCAAAAAACACCCCGACGGCGUUGCUGACCGGAGAUCUGGUGGCCUUGAAGUCCCUACAAGGCAAGAUGUGGCACACAAAUAAGCAGGCGGGAAGGAAAUGAGGGCAAUAGCUGGGGAGAAAGGGACAGAGGGAUGAGGGAGGCCCAAACCUGUUUUAUUAUCAUCACAGUCCAAUCCCCUAUUGUAUUUUACUAGUAAAUUAAUAGACUGGUAUAAUAGGACCAUCGAUUGAGACCUAAACCUAUGUGAAUAUGUGAUUUAAACCUUCAGAAAUUACAGAUCUAUGCUAAUAGCCAUUGGAUCCAGUCACACAAUAGCAAGCUUACUUAAAGAGAAGAUGGAUCUGAAUUUUUACCUGUGCACAGUGACCUGAUUGCAACAAGAAGCAAGGUGGAUCCAAAUUUCCAAUGACUUGAGAUCUGAAUGCAAGGAGAAUGAAGGAGAGUCUGACGUCCUGGACUGUGCUCAGGCCUCGAUGUGGAGGGUAUCGGCAGGAGCACACAUGACUGCGGGGCGAUGGAUGAGGAGGAGGAUGGGAUGAGCAGAGGAGGGCAGAUGUGCGACAAUGGUAGGUGUUCGUGUGAGGGGCGAUGGAUGACGGCGAAGGAGGGGAUGAGCAAAUGAGGGAGGUGGAGUGGAGGGCAGACCAGCGCCGGCGGAAGGAGCUCGGGUGGGUGACGGUGGGAAGGGGUUUGGGCGAGUUGGGGAGG